CUAAACCAGGUCUAAAGGAGAACUAAACCAGGUCUAAAGCAGGUCUAAACCAGGUCUAAACCAGGUCUAAACCAGGUCUAAACCAGGUCUAAACCAGGUCUAAACCAGGUCUAAAACCAGGUCUAAAACCAGGUCUAAAACCAGGUCUAAACUGAGCCUAAACCAGGUCUAAACCAGGUCUAAACCAGGUCUAAAACCAGGUCUAAACUGAGCCUAAACCAGGUCUAAACCAGGUCUAAACCAGGUCUAAAACCAGGUCUAAAACCAGGUCUAAAACCAGGUCUAAAACCAGGUCUAAAACCAGGUCUAAAACCAGGUCUAAACCGGGUCUAAACCGGGUCUAAACCGGGUCUAAACCGGGUCUAAACCAGGUCUAAACCGGGUCUAAACCGGGUCUAAACCGGGUCUAAACCGGGUC
Periophthalmus magnuspinnatus is the source of this 418-nucleotide long non-coding RNA. RefSeq lists it as uncharacterized. The record is from RefSeq and is a predicted model, not a curated record. Lineage: Eukaryota; Metazoa; Chordata; Actinopteri; Gobiiformes; Gobiidae. The transcript is spliced from 3 exons.